RNAcentral lists this ribosomal RNA (1261 nucleotides) under Agrococcus sp. RNAcentral describes it as "bacterial SSU rRNA". It matches the Rfam family "Bacterial small subunit ribosomal RNA", at positions 85 to 1360 of the family's 1533-position model. The record is from RNAcentral. Lineage: Bacteria; Bacillati; Actinomycetota; Actinomycetes; Micrococcales; Microbacteriaceae.
CUCCGGAUUAGUGGCGAACGGGUGAGUAAUACGUGAGCAAUGUGCCCUUGACUCUGGGAUAAGCGCUGGAAACGGCGUCUAAUACCGGAUACGACCCUCGGAGGCAUCUCCUGAUGGUGGAAAGAACUUCGGUCAAGGAUCAGCUCACGGCCUAUCAGCUAGUUGGUGAGGUAACGGCUCACCAAGGCGACGACGGGUAGCCGGCCUGAGAGGGUGACCGGCCACACUGGGACUGAGACACGGCCCAGACUCCUACGGGAGGCAGCAGUGGGGAAUAUUGCACAAUGGGCGCAAGCCUGAUGCAGCAACGCCGCGUGAGGGACGAAGGCCUUCGGGUUGUAAACCUCUUUUAGCAGGGAAGAAGCGAAAGUGACGGUACCUGCAGAAAAAGCACCGGCUAACUACGUGCCAGCAGCCGCGGUAAUACGUAGGGUGCAAGCGUUGUCCGGAAUUAUUGGGCGUAAAGAGCUCGUAGGCGGUUUGUCGCGUCUGCUGUGAAAACCCGAGGCUCAACCUCGGGCUUGCAGUGGGUACGGGCAGACUAGAGUGCGGUAGGGGAGAUUGGAAUUCCUGGUGUAGCGGUGGAAUGCGCAGAUAUCAGGAGGAACACCGAUGGCGAAGGCAGAUCUCUGGGCCGUAACUGACGCUGAGGAGCGAAAGCAUGGGGAGCAAACAGGCUUAGAUACCCUGGUAGUCCAUGCCGUAAACGUUGGGAACUAGAUGUGGGGACCAUUCCACGGUCUCCGUGUCGUAGCUAACGCAUUAAGUUCCCCGCCUGGGGAGUACGGCCGCAAGGCUAAAUCUCAAAGGAAUUGACGGGGGCCCGCACAAGCGGCGGAGCAUGCGGAUUAAUUCGAUGCAACGCGAAGAACCUUACCAAGGCUUGACAUAUACCGGAAACGGCCAGAGAUGGUCGCCCCGCAAGGUCGGUAUACAGGUGGUGCAUGGUUGUCGUCAGCUCGUGUCGUGAGAUGUUGGGUUAAGUCCCGCAACGAGCGCAACCCUCGUCCUAUGUUGCCAGCACGUAAUGGUGGGAACUCAUGGGAUACUGCCGGGGUCAACUCGGAGGAAGGUGGGGAUGAGGUCAAAUCAUCAUGCCCCUUAUGUCUUGGGCUUCACGCAUGCUACAAUGGCCGGUACAAUGGGCUGCGAUACCGCAAGGUGGAGCGAAUCCCAAAAAGCCGGUCUCAGUUCGGAUUGAGGUCUGCAACUCGACCUCAUGAAGUCGGAGUCGCUAGUAAUCGCAGAUCAGCAACGCUGC